AUAGGGAGGAACUGCAAUGCUCCAUUAAAUUCGUGGCUAAACACAAUGUUAAUAUUGGUAUAAAGUUAUUAAUUUCAGUAUUUUGUACAGCUCAGUGCGAUUAUUAUGAAUAACAACAGUAGCGUCAGUGUUGGUAACAAUUAUAUUAACAGCUGUCAUAGUAUAGGUUUUAAUGAGCGUUUUCUGGCGUGCAGAGCAGUCUAGCCUCUGUUUCCGAAUCAAAACAAAGAUGGCAGCUCGCCGGCUACCUGAACCGGAAAGAGUCGCAGCUUGGGAAACAGGUUAAAAAUCUUUAAUAAUCUUUUUAUUAUUCGGCGGGCGGAAUAUUUCUUCAUCCAGAUGGCUAUAAAAGUCUUUGAAAAUCCUGGAAAUACCCCCAGAACAACGUGCGGAACAGUGAACUCAUCAAGCUACAUCAAUACAGACAUAUUACACUUCCGCACCUGCCUCAUAAGCUGCUAACGCUGCGGCCAGAUGGCACUUCUCUGAAAACACCUGGCCCUCCACGCACGUCCCUGCAGCCUUCUCCCGUACUGUAGACCCAGACCUCUUCAGUUGUUGUUAAGGAUGCAAUUUCAGAUUAUCAGGCAUAAUGGAGGAUUACAGAAUCUCUCAGCAGUGCAGUUGAGUGAUGUCUAAUGUAUUAAGUCCAUCCUCGUCCUUUACCAGAGGAAGGAAGGUUGCUGACAAAAAAAACCAUUUUUUUUCCAGACUAACUAUAAACAGAGUCAUCUUCACCUGAAAACAAAGAAGGAAAUAUUUAAAGAUGAAUAACCUCCAAUGCAGAACAUAUAAGUCCACUAUUAAAGAACUCCAGUCUUGUCAAACUUUUGUGUUUUUGACAUUAUGAGCUACAUCUCUUUGAGUGUGUGUCAGUUUGGCAUCUGUUGCACUUUUCAUGAUGUCCUUACCCAGUCCCAGUACAGUGUGAAAUGUAUUUUUAUUAUCAUUUUUA
Molecule: long non-coding RNA, 955 nt
Organism: Siniperca chuatsi (mandarin fish)
Lineage: Eukaryota; Metazoa; Chordata; Actinopteri; Centrarchiformes; Sinipercidae
Exons: 3
Source: RefSeq, a predicted model, not a curated record